GCUCGGUUGGAUGUUCUCGGUGGGAUUCGAUAAACGUUGACUUCAGGUUUGACACAGAUGACCGACUCGUACUCGAACUGACCCUCUGUCGCCAUCUUGACUUUUACUCAGUCGGUGCACGCCAGUGGUGGUGGUGACGAAAUAAAGGCGAGAGACAAAGAUCCUGAGGCGAAGAUUGGGCAUCUGGCUGAGGAACUGACACAAUCUGAUGGAGCAGUUAGCACAGGGAGACCAGGAGCAGAACCAGGUGAUGGAAUAACUGAGCCUCCUCUCUCCAGUACCUCCGUACCCCCAUAAACCAGGACACAAGGCUCCCAGGCCCUUCUCAUAUGCUCCCCCAUCUUGACCCACAUUACUUACCUCUACAUGGCAGCCAUUGCGAUUGCGGAGGUGUCCAAAGUCAAAGGAUAAGGAGUCUGGCCCCACUCGCCUUUUUACUACAAAGCAGAGGGUGAAGGAAAGAGUGAGGAGUGAGAGACGGAUAGGAGCAGGAGAGAGGUGUUGUCCAGACCAGAAGGGGCCUCUGAAAGUGUUGCAUAGAAACACAAGGUAUUGAGCAAGGAGGUGUUGGUGAAGAAGAAGAGGUAGCCAAAGGUUUGGGAGGUGAGCGGCGGGGAUAGACACGCCUCCCGCGACAGCAUCAGAGAACAGCGAUACACUUCCACCAGCCCGGCAACUUUAGGC
Molecule: long non-coding RNA, 684 nt
Organism: Siniperca chuatsi (mandarin fish)
Lineage: Eukaryota; Metazoa; Chordata; Actinopteri; Centrarchiformes; Sinipercidae
Exons: 5
Source: RefSeq, a predicted model, not a curated record